Molecule: non-coding RNA, 182 nt
Filed under: Desulfobacteraceae bacterium 4572_35.2
Lineage: Bacteria; Pseudomonadati; Thermodesulfobacteriota; Desulfobacteria; Desulfobacterales; Desulfobacteraceae
Description: 6S RNA
Rfam family: 6S / SsrS RNA
About the family: E. coli 6S RNA was the first non coding RNA to be sequenced, but its function was unknown until recently.
Source: RNAcentral
UGCUCUCUGCUCAACAGGUGACAUCUUGAUGCCCACGCGGAAUAAUUUUUCACUGGGGUUUUUUUUCGAAAUGCGGUGUGCAAGCCCUCCUUUUGCAGAGGGACGCCUGAUGCGUUUCCCGAGAACCCCACCUAAUGUCCCUCGUAGUGAGGCUACAGAUGCACGGUUGACGUGGAGAGCUC